AACGCACAUUGCGCCCUUCGGUAUUCCGUUGGGCAUGCCUGUUCGAGCGUCAUUUAAACCUUCAAGCUCUGCUUGGUGUUGGGUGUUUGUUCCGCCUCUGCGCGUGGACUCGCCUCAAAUUCAUUGGCAGCCGGUAUGUUGGCUUCGUGCGCAGCACAUUGCGUCUCGAGUCUGACUAUCUCCUUCCAUUAAGCCUCUUUUUAACUUUGACCUCGGAUCAGGUAGGGAUACCCGCUGAACUUAA
RNAcentral lists this unclassified non-coding RNA (244 nucleotides) under uncultured Ascomycota. RNAcentral describes it as "sequence contains ITS2". Lineage: Eukaryota; Fungi; Ascomycota. The record is from RNAcentral.